This 500-nucleotide ribosomal RNA is filed under the name Sungouiella intermedia. RNAcentral's name for it is "[Candida] intermedia partial large subunit ribosomal RNA". It matches the Rfam family "Eukaryotic large subunit ribosomal RNA", at positions 101 to 668 of the family's 3401-position model. The record is from RNAcentral. Lineage: Eukaryota; Fungi; Ascomycota; Pichiomycetes; Serinales; Metschnikowiaceae.
GCAAAAGCUCAAAUUUGAAAUCCUUCGGGAGUUGUAAUUUGUAGGUUGGGAGACCCCGCGGCUAGUGGCACCAAGUCCCUUGGAACAGGGCGCCUUAGAGGGUGAGAGCCCCGUAGGUACCACAACACCGUCUUGUGUCUCCUCUCCAAAGAGUCGAGUUGUUUGGGAAUGCAGCUCAAAGUGGGUGGUAAAUUCCAUCUAAAGCUAAAUACCGGCGAGAGACCGAUAGCGAACAAGUACAGUGAUGGAAAGAUGAAAAGCACUUUGAAAAGAGAGUGAAACAGUACGUGAAAUUGUUGAAAGGGAAGGGCUUGCAAGCAGACACGGCCUUCGUGCCGGGCCAGCAUCGGUUGCUAGGGGUGGAUAAGGAACAAGGAAUGUAGCUCCUCGGAGUAUUAUAGCCUUGCGCGAUACACCCACUGGCGACCGAGGCCUGCGGUAUUCUUUACCUAGGAUGCUGGCGUAAUGGUUGCAAGCCGCCCGUCUUGAAACACGGACCA